CAUAGGUUUGGCCUUAAAAGAGAAAAAAAAUUAUUUGCCAAUCAAUCUAGAAAAAAGAAUUGGAUCAAAAUAAAGGACAUAAGAAUAGAGUCCCUGAAAUGAAAUGAAAUGAAAUGACUGGGAGGUGUAUUGAAUCCAUUUAAAUAUAGACCUCACACUAAAAUCCAUAAGAAUCAUGGUUAUAGAAUACAGAGUAAAUGAUGUGAAUCUAAGCAAUAUAAAACAAUAAUAUAUCUAAGAAAGAUCAAGAAGUUGAAAAAAGGGAUAUGGGAGAAUUGUUCUUUUGUAGCAGAGAGCCAGUUAUAUCUAAAAUUUAAGCAUGCAAGAAAAAAAAAAAGAAUGACUGAAAGCUUAAGUUUUCUUUAAUCUUUUUUCUUAUCCUCAGCAGGAUAUUUUAAGAAACAUAUCCCUUGAGCAGAAGGAACAAUGAUUUAAUGUUCACAAUUUACCAUCUGUUAAAUUCAAGUGAAAUUAAAUUCAAAACACUUUAUUAAAAGUGGUGUGGUCCCAUUUAAAUAACUGUCCCUUAUUCUAUCUUUCCAUUCUUGCCUUGUCAAUUCAUCCGUCCAUCAAUGGACACAUAUGCACAGACAAUUGCCUCCUUUGGGAAAUCAGUGACAGUGUCUUCUAACUCCAACUUGCAAGGGCCUCUGUGGGGCCAGCUUUGAAAUGUGUGCCCCACGGCUGGACACAGAGGACUGGGGUCUGACAGCUGCAUGGGACUUCCAGCUGGUGGGAGAAUGACUCAGCUGCUCUGGUGGCAGAGCCGGGAGAGGUCCUUGAUGUGCUGGGAGCAGCCUGCUCUCCUAGAGUUUGUUUGGGUGAAGGAGGGGUGAUUGUUUUCCUCUUGAUACCCAGGGACCAAGUGGGAGAGUUGCCUGGGGUGGAGUCUUCUUGGGGCCUGUGGUAUAGGGUUGACUGACAGAGGAAAACUCAGCACGACGUGGCUGGAAGUGCAACUCAGGCUGUCCAGUGGUUGCAGGAGUGGCAGGGGGCUUUCUGGGUCACAGGAACUUUAGGGACUUUCUGAAAGCACCACUGUAAGCCAUGUGUAAUUAACAGCCAGAGUCAUCUGGAGAUACCAAUGAAGCAAACAUGUCCUACAGAAGUGAUCACAAAGAACAACUUCAUGCGAAUAACUAGUAUUUCAUUGGCUCCCAAAUACCUAUGACGUGUCUUAGUAACAUUUAGUCGUUAUGAGGAUCCUUCACAUAUUCUAGGCUUUUAUAGGUUGAACUCCAAACAGUAAAACUAAAAGGAAGAAAUAAUCCUUGUCGACUUAAAAAAAAUGCAUAAGGUGAGAGUUGUAAGUUAAAUUUUAUUCGGGGCAAAAUGAGGACUAUAGCCUGGGAGGCGGCAUUUCAGAUAGCUCUGAGAAACUGCUCCAAAUGGUGUGUGUGUGGUGGGGGGGGGUGAAGUCAGUAUAUUAUGUGAUUUUGGUGAAAGGGGAGGCACAUGCAAUUAGGUACACAUUUUGCAUAGGGCUGCUGCUCCUCUCGAGGAGCAGAUGUAACCAUGAAGGAUUUUAGUGCUUUUCUAGAUGUGAGGAGAUGCAUGAAUUGAGCUCAUAAAAUCUCAUAUCUAUCUGAAGAUCUGUGCUGUCAGUUUGCCCAGAGUAUGGAGUGCCUCUUUCCUGAUCUCCACCUUGAUUUUUUCAGGGGGUGUUGAGGGUUGGCAGCUACUGUGGCUCAUGAUCUAGUCCUUGUAGAGGCGGAUGGUAAGUGCCCAUCUCCAGCUCACACCACAGAGGCCACUGUCCCUGCUGCUCCAGGCAUGUCAGGUCCCUGAGGAGCUGGUCAGUCAGUACUGGAUCUGCACUCUGCCCUCUUUGCCUUGAGUUCCUUGCCUGUUUAUCCUCAGUUUGGUACUGGGUGUCUUUAUCGCCGCUAGUUGGACACCUUGGUGGGGUCAGGGCGUUCCUUUUCAUCACUUGUCUCUGCUCUUUCGCCUUGUACUGUCUCUGAGGGCUGUUUGUCCUACAGGCGCGGCCUUAAGCCUGCUUUCUGGCACCUGCCUUGCAGACUUUGCGAUUCUCUCCGCACUGGCUUCUGUUCGGACAAUUUGCUGUGAAUCACCGCUAGCACCGAUGGAAGGCUUUCCUUCCACUUCGGUUUUGUGUCCAGAGAGCCCGCCUGGCUUUCAUGCAGAGAGCACAGGGUGGCGGGGUGCAGAUUGCCAGGUCUACGUUUCCAUUUUCUCCUGGCUUCAGUUACCUGGGGCCAAACUAAGGAAGAUUAAAAGGAAUGGGAACAUUCCAUUGGUUUUCAAUCAAAUGAAGUUCUGAGGAGCGGGAGGAAAUCUCGCGAGGUCGUGCCUGGUCCGCCCACAUGGGAAUUCCCCUUGUCCCUCAAAUCCAGACCCUUCCUCACUUUAGUAGCCGCCUCUGUAGCAGGUUGACUGCGUGGUACCACAGGGCCUCUGACCAGUCACCUUAGUCUUGGCCCUAAAAGUGCCAGAGUAGUGAUGCUGGCAGUUCGGAUGCUGUAAGGUGUUUCCUUGAAGUGAAAAGUGAAAAUUAUCCACUAAAUGAGGACAGAAAGAACGUCCUAUGCUGAGGUUGCGGAGACCUAUGGUAAGAACGAAUCUUCUAUCUGUGAAAGUGGGAAGGAAAAAGAUAUUCCUAUUAGUUUUGCCGCCGCCCCUCAAACUGCAAAAGUUAUGCUGUGCGUGAUAGCUACUUAAUUGUGUGGGAAAAGAUAUUAAAUUUGUAUAAUGAGAUGUUUGGAGAGAGACCACAUUUACAUAACUUUUUAUUACACUAUUUUGUUCUAAUUGUUCUGUUUUAUUAUUAGUUAUUGUUGUUAGUUUUACUGUGUCAAAUCUAUCAAUUAAACUUUAUCAAAAGUGUAUACGCAUGGGAAGAGAGUUCCCCGUUGUGCCUCAGCGAAAACGAAUCUGACUAGUAUGCAAGUGAAUGCGGGUUCAGUCCCUGGCCUUGUUUGGUGGGUUAACGAUCCAGCGCUGCUGUGAGCUCUGGGGUAGGUCACAGACGUGACUUGGAUCUGGCUGUUGCUGUGGCGUAGGCCGGCAGCGGUAGCUCCGAUUCAACCCCUAACCUGGGAACUUCCAUAUGCCACGGGUGCGGCCC
Molecule: long non-coding RNA, 3088 nt
Filed under: Sus scrofa (pig)
Lineage: Eukaryota; Metazoa; Chordata; Mammalia; Artiodactyla; Suidae
Description: lncRNA (ENSSSCG00000056992.1)
Source: RNAcentral